CACCGCGGUUAUACGAGAGACCCAAGUUGUUAGAUGUCGGCGUAAAGAGUGGUUAAGAUUCUUAUCCUAAACUAAAGCCGAACACCUUCAGAGCUGUUAUACGCAUCCGAAGGCAAGAAGCCCAACCACGAAAGUGGCUUUAUUACAUCUGACCCCACGAAAGCUACGGUACAAACUGGGAUUAGAUACCCCACUAUGCCUAGCCCUAAACAUUGAUAGUAAAAUACCCCUACUAUCCGCCUGGGAACUACGAGCAUUAGCUUGAAACCCAAAGGACUUGGCGGUGCUUUAGACCCACCUAGAGGAGCCUGUUCUAGAACCGAUUAUCCCCGUUCAACCUCACCUUUCCUUGUUUCCCCCGCCUAUAUACCACCGUCGUCAGCUUACCCUGUGAAGGGCCUAUAGUAAGCAAGAUUGGCACAGCCCAAAACGUCAGGUCGAGGUGUAGCGUAUGGAAAGGGAAGAAAUGGGCUACAUUCCCUAGCAUUAAGGAACUACGAAUGAUUACACUGAAACACGUAUCUGAAGGAGGAUUUAGCAGUAAGCAGGAAAUAGAGCGUUCUGCUGAAACCGGCCCUGAAGCGCGCACACACCGCCCGUCACUCUCCCCAAGCUUCCACCACCCAAUAACUUAAAACUUUUCAACUGCAAAGGGGAGGCAAGUCGUAA
Molecule: ribosomal RNA, 669 nt
Filed under: Lutjanus malabaricus (Malabar blood snapper)
Lineage: Eukaryota; Metazoa; Chordata; Actinopteri; Lutjaniformes; Lutjanidae
Description: partial 12S ribosomal RNA
Rfam family: Bacterial small subunit ribosomal RNA
Source: RNAcentral